Melanaphis sacchari is the source of this 427-nucleotide long non-coding RNA. RefSeq lists it as uncharacterized. The record is from RefSeq and is a predicted model, not a curated record. The transcript has 2 exons. NCBI's taxonomy places the organism in Eukaryota, Metazoa, Arthropoda, Insecta, Hemiptera, Aphididae.
UUAAUUACAUAACCAAAAAAUAAAUAAUAAUACCCAGAAAGUUCUGAUACGGUUCACCCGAUGCCGCUGUAUGAUAUACAUCUUUUACCCUCGCUCACGGAUCCGUACUGGAUAAACAGUUUUCACAUCGUUCCACGGAUGGAAAAUCAAAACAUUCUAGAAACUUCAUUGAUCAAACGCGUGCCGCAGAAGUAUCAUGAAUACCUACUUGAAAAAUGAGCGAUUAAACUGUCGACUGUGUGUUUAUCACGUAGCGACUGCAUGACGAGAGUGGAGAUAUUUCCUAUAUAAUCAAUCCUAACAGUUGCCAUCAUCGAUUCUUCCAGAUUCAUAUGGGACAUGAUGAACGGGUUUAAUCUCUUCUUGAAGAGAAGCCUGUGCCCUCACACUUGUUACGUAUUAACAGGUCAAACCUAUCUGAUCCCUA